AGUAGGGGAAAAUUUUGGUUGCAAAGGGAUCACUAUAUUUGUUCUCACCAUGGAAGUGAAACCAGGACAAGUGGUAAUCCUGUUUUCCUGUUUAUGAAAUAUCUCACUUCCUUAGAUUCUUUUUGAGUUUUAUGGCUAUCUAUAGACGUGGAAAUUGAGCUGAAGCCAAACAGAUCUGGCCUUAUUUCCCAUGGGCCUGUGCACCACCAAUUUGGAUCUGAGAUCAGACAUAACCUUGCCAUAAGCAGCAAAGGGCUUGGUGAACCCUCAAAAAGGCUGUCAAACACCCAGAGGCCUUGGGGAUCAGGAAGGAGCUAUCAUGUGGUCUUUCAUCUAAGAGAGAAUUGUCCUGCCUGAUGGGCUUCAAACCACCAGAACAUCAGUUCUUCCUGGUUCUGCAGUAGUCUCCAACCUUCAGACUCAAACUUCAGCACCUGUUCUUCAGAUUUUGGACUUGCAGCCUCUAUAAUCACAUGAGCCAAUUCCUUAUAUAAAUUUAUUUAUACAUGCUGACAGUUGGUUCUGUUUCUCUGGAUAACCCUGACUGUUAGAGCUGUUACCUCAAAUUUGUUUUCUUAUAUUUGGUGUCUGUUUUGGAGUACUUACAAGUGCUUAAAAUGUUCUUUUUCAAUUAGGUCCUGUAGAACAUAGCUGCGCCUGGAAUUGAAUGAUCGUGUUUUCCGUGCAGAGCUAUCUGCCUUUGGACAGGAGGAGAACUCUCAGCACCAUUCCCUUUCCACGGGAGCUUCUUUUUUCUCAUUCUUUUUCUUGCCUCCCUCAACUCCCAUCCUCUGUUCUGGGAGAAGGUGAAGCUGGCCUGACAGGCCUGAGGGAAGCCGGACGGAGGCACACUUGCCAGCUUUUAGUUGAGGGAGGCACCGCAGCAAGGCUCUCCAGUCCCUCCUUCCCUGGGAGCACCAGCUCUGAUUCUAGUGGGCAGCUGCAGCUAAGACGAAGACAAAUGAAUCCAGAGACUUCUCUCGAGCUAUGAGCCUGAGCCAAAGGCACAGCCCAGCUGUCCAGAGAGCUUUGUGACAGAACAUGGGGGGCCAGCUGACAGGAACCGAGGCACUUUUAAAUUUAGCACUUGUCCUCGCCCUUUCGGUUCACGAUUUCUUGGAAGUUUCAUUUGGAAAAAGAGGUGAGGGACAGAAGUAGAAGUUGGGAAUUCUAGAUCCCUUGAUUCUAGAAUAUUCUAAGAUCUUCCAAACUAACCCUGAUUCCUAAAAACAGAAUAGGACAAUCUUGUUUUCGGUAUUGAGAAUAGCAAAUAUAGAAAUCCCUUAAUUCUUUGACUUAGCUUAGCAGGUGCAAUUAGUUCUAUCCCUAAGCCUUCUUACCAGAAAAUUUUCUAGUGUAAAAUGAUUGGAUGGGAUACCAAUUGGGAUGGGUGUGGUAAUAGUAAAACCAUAUUCUUUAAUAACUUUUUCUUAUUUGUUUUCCUGGAAUUUUGGUUGGCAUUUUUUAAUGAAUUACAUGCUUAUUUUUAAAAAUUAUUAUGAUGGAGAAUUUUUGUUAGGCAGAAUUUCAAAUCUGUCAUCUGCUGUUGACUCUUACUUUCACUACAAAUUUACGAAGGUAGAGAGACCCAGUUCUUACUUAAGUUAUAUCUAACAUAAAAAUACAAUUCUGUCCCAAUCUGUUCAUUUAAAGGGUAAAUUUAUAGCAUCUGUUCAACUUUAUAUGCUAUCUCAAAAUUGUCAACAUUUUAAGCAAGGUGCUACCUAAUUUUAAUGGGUGCACAAGAGGGAAAAGUGGGUCAUUGACUUCAAAGGCGAAACUAUAAGCUAUUAAUGGGCUACGUUGUGCUGAAUUACAAUCUCUUUUCUUGUUUCAAGUUAAAAUUUUUAAGUGGCCACAUGUUUGGCAUUGUAAUUGAUACCACAAUGCUGCUGUUCCUUGACUCAUUCAUUCUCAAAUGUAUAUAUAUAUAUAUUCUUAGUUCACAAAUUUCUAUUUCUUUUACACAAGUUGCUAUUUCUUGUAGUGUUCAUGAACUGGGUAUGCUGUCCUUUGUAAUGAAAGACUACAGACUGCCAUGAAUAGUACCUUGGCUUCUUUUUUUACAGUGUGGAAUGAGAGCAUUUAUUAUUGUUGCAUUAUUGUAUUUUUGAAUAAAAAUCCCUAUUCCCACUGUACCAAA
This 2143-nucleotide long non-coding RNA is filed under the name Homo sapiens (human). Its description in RNAcentral is "HSALNT0348405". Lineage: Eukaryota; Metazoa; Chordata; Mammalia; Primates; Hominidae. The record is from RNAcentral.